AAACCUUGUGCUGAGCCUUGUGCCACCGUCAGUCCGCGGCGCCACAAGCCUCGGUGUUUACUGCUGCCGCCUGCCGGCCGGGCGGGGAAGGGGGGACCCGGCCACCCCUCACUUCAGCUCCUGCAGCUUCCCAAACAAACCCGGGCGGGAUGGGAGUGUCUUCUUGGCCGUGGAAAUCGAUCCUCCUACCUUGUCCUGAAGCCGCCCGCCGCCUUUCCUCGUCCCUCCCUUCGCGGUGAUUUUCCGGUCCCGGCGCCCGGCGAGGGCGCGCGGCUGGUGUCCGCCCCGCCCGAAAGCAUUUGCAAGUGAGGAAGCAGCACAACCCUGGGUCUUAGAUAAUUUCUAACAGAGAGGCCCCAGCAAUUCAGCAGGCAGCGUCCUGAGUCUUUGGCAGCCUGGUCCCUCUUUAGCAAAUUCUCCACCUUUGCCAACAGAGGGUCUUUAGGACACAGAUUCUUAAAAGUGCAGGUGAGCCAGCCAUGAGAGGGUAUCUUGUGGCCAUAUUCCUGAGUGCUGUCUUCCUCUAUUAUGUACUGCAUUGCAUAUUAUGGGGAACGAAUGUCUAUUGGGUGGCACCUGUGGAAAUGAAACGGAGAAAUAAGAUCCAGCCUUGUUUAUCAAAGCCAGCUUUUGCCUCUCUGCUGAGGUUUCAUCAGUUUCACCCUUUUCUGUGUGCAGCUGAUUUUAGAAAGAUUGCUUCCUUGUAUGGUAGCGAUAAGUUUGAUUUGCCCUAUGGGAUGAGAACAUCAGGUCAGUAGUAUUAUUCUUAUCUGGUUCUGUUAAAUUUGAGUGGUGUUUGAUGA
This 803-nucleotide small RNA is filed under the name Pongo abelii (Sumatran orangutan). RNAcentral's name for it is "retained intron". The record is from RNAcentral. Lineage: Eukaryota; Metazoa; Chordata; Mammalia; Primates; Hominidae.